Molecule: ribosomal RNA, 92 nt
Filed under: Escherichia coli
Lineage: Bacteria; Pseudomonadati; Pseudomonadota; Gammaproteobacteria; Enterobacterales; Enterobacteriaceae
Also listed under: 23 other names
Description: partial 16S ribosomal RNA
Rfam family: Bacterial small subunit ribosomal RNA
Source: RNAcentral
AAAUUGAAGAGUUUGAUCAUGGCUCAGAUUGAACGCUGGCGGCAGGCCUAACACAUGCAAGUCGAACGGUAACAGGAAGAAGCUUGCUUCUU